Molecule: ribosomal RNA, 492 nt
Filed under: uncultured bacterium
Lineage: Bacteria
Description: partial 16S ribosomal RNA
Rfam family: Bacterial small subunit ribosomal RNA
Source: RNAcentral
AGUGAACGCUGGCGGUAGGCCUAACACAUGCAAGUCGAACGGCAACACAGUAAGAGCUUGCCCUUACGGGUGGCGAGUGGCGGAUGGGUGAGGCAUACAUCAGAUUCUACUUUUUCGUGGGUGAUAACGUAGGGCAACUUACGCUAAUACCGAAUACGUCCUACGGGUGGAAGCAGUGGUUCUUCGGACCUUUGGCGUUUCUAUGAGCCGAUGUCGGAUUAGCUAGUUGGCGGGGUAAAGGCCCACCAAGGCGACGAUCCGUAGCUGGUCUGAGAGGAUGAUCAGCCACACUGGAACUGAGACACGGUCCAGACUCCUACGGGAGGCAGCAGUGGGGAAUAUUGCGCAAUGGGCGCAAGCCUGACGGAGCAAUGCCGCGUGAGUGAUGAAGGCCUUCGGAUCGUAAAGCCCUGUUAUUGGGGAAGAAAAAAUGUGGGAGUAAACCUGGCUGUUUUGACGGUACCCAAAGAGUAAGCACCGGCUAACUACGUG